AUUUGAAAAAAAAAUUAGAAACUGCGCAACCACAGGAAAACCGCCUGGCAAAGAUUCAAAGUGUAGGCAAAAACCUGCAGAGAGUGAACAGAGUCCUCAUGGGCCCAAGGAGCAUCCAGGAAAGGCACUUCAAAAAGGUGGGAAAGCACAGCACUAGGAAAGAACAGGAUGCCCAGGCAUUUGUGGACAAUGCUGCCAAAGGAAAAAGGCUUGAGGGUCCAGCCCCAAGGGAGCUGGAACAGCCUCACAUAGUGCAGGGGCCUGAGAAGGUAGUGGGAAACACCAUCUACACCAAGCCUUCAUUCACCCAAGAGCAUAAGGCAGCAGUCUCCUCUGUGCUGAAACCCUUCUCCAUGGGCGUGCCUUCUGCCUCUAGCCCUGCAAAAGCCCUACCUCAGGUCAGAGACAGAUCGAAAGACUUAGCCUACACCAUUUUAAUUUUAGAAAUGGCAAUGGCUAGAGUGAAAAACAUGAAGGCUGCUAAACCAAUCACACAUUCCAGAAAAAAAUAGCGCUUUUAUAAAACUCACUCCAUUGUGGCCCACAGAACACCCAAGGCCAAAAAGAUUAGAAAGUUUAGAAAGGGCAGUUAUCUCAACAGACCGAUGCUCGCAAAGAGGCCGCUGUUCUCUGCAGCAAAGAGCCUCAUACAUUCGCAAGGGAUUUUUUCAUCCUUAGGAGACCUGAGUCCUCAAGAAAACCCUCUUCUGGAAGUAGUUGCUCCUUCAGAACGUUUUACAGAAAACACUAAUGUAAAAGACACAACUAAUGUAAAAGACACAAAAGAGAUGUGUUCAAAGACACAUCUCUGAAAACACAAACUACAAUCAUCCUCCUGAGGCAGUUUCCGCUGGGACUGCAUUCAACUUAGAACCAACUGUUAAACAAACUGAGACAAAAUGGGAAUACAACAAUGUGGGCAUUGACUUGUCCCCUGAGCCCAAAAGCUUCAAUUACCCAUUGCUCUCGUCCCCAGGUGAUCAGCUUGAAAUUCAGCUAACCGAGCAGCUACGGUCCCUCAUCCCCAACGAGGAUGUGAGAAAGUUCAUGUCUCAUGUUAUCUGGACCUUGAAAAUGGAAUGUUCAGAAACACAUGUGCAAGGGAGCUGUGCCAAGCUCAUGUCGCGAACAGGCCUCCUGAUGAAGCUUCUCAGCGAGCAGCAGGAAGCAAAGGCAUUGAAUGUAGAAUGGGAUACGGACCAACAAAAAACAAAUUAUAUUAAUGAGAACAUGGAACAGAAUGAACAGAAAGAGCAGAAGUCAAGUGAGCUCAUGAAAGAAGUUCCAGGAUAUGACUAUAAGAACAAACUCAUCUUCGCAAUAUCUGUGACUGUCAUACUAAUAAUUUUGAUUAUAAUUUUUUGUUUUAUAGAGGUAAAGACAAUAAUUAAUUCAGGUUUUCAAAAUACAAUCCUGUGUUUGUGUGGAUUCAGAAUCCACAAACUGAAAACCAACGUCACUUUCCCACUUGACAUUCUUCUUCUGUCAUUUAAGGCUGAGGUGUGCUUUGUUCUUUUACUGCAAUGUAUAUUCCAGGAUUGUUAAAGGAUCCUCGCUUCCAGGAGGUCUCUGUGAAAUAAAACCAAGUUAAUCCCACUAGACUAUUUUAAGAAGUUAAGUUGAUAUAAUAGCAAAAUUUCUCCCACCCAAAACUAUGUCAACAAUUGGAUGUACUCACUGAGUCACCCCUUACUCUGCCACUAAUUUAUUUCCUUGUUGCUUAAAUGAUGAGAGACAUAUAAUCUCCACCCUCACGGAGUUGUCAUCACCCUGGAGAGGAAGAAGACAGCCAAAAGAGAGAAGUAUUGUCUUGUAGACUUACUAGAUUCACAUAGUAUCAUCCUUCUCCAGUGUGUAAGGUGUUGUCUAAAUAGGUCCAGUUAAAGAACUACAGGGUAGCCAUUUUUAAAAAAAAAUUUUGGCCACGUUUUCAAAUUCACAGGGGAGGGGGAAUGUCUCAUACUCCAGCCCUCCUGAGCCUAGGCCCUCUGUGAGAUGUGUCACCAUUUCUUGGACACCAUAUGAGACAUUCCCCCUCGGAUUAGAGAUGCUCAACCUGCAUCAACAAAUCUAAAGCCUGCAUCUGGCUACCCUGGGGCGAGUCCUGUUUACAGUGCCUAUUCCUGGAGCUCGCCUCUUUUUGCCUUUUGUUUGAUUAUGUGAUGUAUUACUUUUCCCAGCAGGCCAGUGCUAGCAUACUGGAAGAGGGAUUUAAUAAGCUGGCACCCUUGAUGCUAUGCUCCUAAUCCAACCUUAUUUGCCUCAUUGGCCAUUUCCAUUAUGGUGGCAGCCCUCCAUUCCAGCCACAGCAGCCCCUCAGCGUCCCCCAGUCACACUGUCCCCAUUGCUGCUCAUCUGUGCCUUUGUCCAUCUACAAUGCCCUUAUUUCACUCUGCCUGUGGGAGUCCUGUGAAUCUCUCCAAAGCCAACUCAGUUCAUCUUUCUGCUUGAAACCUUCCCUGAAUAGGCCAGGUGCGGUGGCUCACGCCUGUAAUCCCAGCACUUUGGGAGGCCAAGGCAGGCGGAUCACAAGGUCAGGAGAUCGAGACCAUCCUGGCUAACACAGACCAUUCUCUACUAAAAAUGCAAAAAAUUAGCUGGGUGUGGUGGCGGGCGUGUGUCGUCCCAGCUACUUGUGAGGCUGAAGCAGGAAAAUGGCAUGAACCUGGGAGGUGGAGCAUGCAGCCAGCCAAGAUCGGGCCGCUGCACUCCAGCCUGGGGGACAGAGCGAGACUCUGCCUCAAAAAAAAAAAAAAAAAGAAACUUCCCUGAAUAUUCCAGCCCUCCUGAGCCUAGUCCCUUUGUGAGAUUUGUCCCCAUUUCUUGGACACCAUAUAAGAGACUUCAGAGGCUGAAGUGGGAGGAUUGCUUGAGCCUGGGAGGUCGAGGAUGCAGUGAGCUGUGGUCAUACCACUGCACUCUAGCCUGGGCAACAGAGCGAGACCUUGUCUCAAAAACAGCCACCACCAAAAACUAUCUUGGGAUUUGAAUAGGAUUACCUUAAAUUUGUAGAUUAAUUUGAGAAUUGACAUCUGUACGACAUUCUAGAACAUGGUAUUUCAUGUCAUGUAUUCAUUUCUUGUUAAUGUCUUUCAGAAGAGUUUUAGGGUUUCCAUCAUAUAGAUCUUACACGUCUUUUGUUAGAUAACAGAUCUUUGUAUUUUUGUUCCUAAAUACUUCAGACAUUUGUAUUGCCAUUGUAAAUGGGAUCUUUCUUCCAUUUUCUAGUUAGUUAUUGGUGGUACAUCUGAAAAGCAUUUGAGGUUUGUGUGCUGCUCUCUUGAUUUUGUUUCUAGCCACCGUACUGAAUUCUCAUAUUACUUCCAGUAAAAUCUUAGUUGAUUCUCUUAGGCUUCUUUGGCUAACAUUUAUUAUUUUAUAUGCAAAUAAUUAUAGUUUUGUCUCUUCCUUUUCAAUACUUACACUCUUUCCUUCCUUUCCUUUCUUUUUUUUUUCUUUCUCAGGGCCUUGUUGUCACCCAGACUGGAGAGCAAUGGUGUGAUCUAGCUCACUGUAACCUCAAACUCCUGGGCUUAAGGGAUCCUCCUGCCUCAGCUUCCUGAGUGGCUGGGACUACAGGCAGGCAGUGAAUUUUAAAACUUUUGGUGUAGAGACAAGAUCUUGCUAUGUUGCCCAGGCUGGUUUUCCUGCCACUUUAGAGCAGGUUUCCUUUUUUUCAUACUUUUAAGAGGUUUUUAUUAGGAAUUGUCCAUUGAAUGUUAGCUAAAACAGUCAAUAAAAUGCGUUAAGUACCAGCUACAUGCAAGACCCUAAGUUAGAUACAGUCAGCCCUCUUCAUCAGCAGGUCCACAUCUUCAGAUUCAACUAGAUAAGGCUGAAUAUUUGAAGAAAAAAACAAUAAAAAUACAAUUAGAAAGUACAGUAUAACAACUGUUGCCAUGAUACAAUAUCUAUACAUUUUAUUAGUGAUGACCUAAAGUUCAUGGGACCAGGCACGGUGACUCACACUUGUAAUCCCAACACUUUGGGAGGCCAACCUGGGCAGCAUAGUGAGACCUUGUCUUUAAUAAAAAUAAAAAUAAAAAAAUUAGCUAGUGUGGUGGUAUGCACCUGUAGUCCCAGCUACUCAAGAGGCUGAGGUGGGCAGAUCACUGGAGCCCAGGAGGUUGCGGCUGCUGUGAGCUGUGAUUGUGACACUGCUCUCCAGCCUGAGUGACAGAGGGUGAUCCUGUCUCUAAGUAAGUAAAUAAAUAAAGUAUAUGGGGGGGAUGUGUGUUGGUUAUAUGCAAACACUGCACCAUUAUACGUAAGGGAUUGAGCAUCCACAGAUUCUGGUAUGGUGUGGAGGCGAUAUCCUAGAACCAGUCGUCUGCAAGGUAGCAAGGAUGACUGAACUGUGGAAGAAUCAAAGCACUGUUAAACAGCAUACAAUUCCUGUCUUCAAAAAAGUUAUCUCAUCGGGUAGAUGAGACUUAAAAUGAAUAAAAGGAAUGAAUACACAUUGGAGAUAGUGGUUGUUGUGAUAGAUAACCUUAAUUGUGUUUUCUUCCAAAACGGGUGAAUUCACAUAAAAGGGCAUCAGAAAAAUACAAAGACAACCCAUCAAUAUCAGGAGCCUGAGCAUGAGUUAAAGCAUGUGGAUGGCCUAGAGCCAUGUUUUUAAAAUUGUUAUUAAAUAUUGGUUUUUUACUUAAAUCAAUGAAAACUUUCUUUACUUUGUGGUUGUGUUCCUCAAAAUGAGAAUUUUUAACAAUAAUAAAAAUAAAGCUUAUUAGAUCA
Molecule: long non-coding RNA, 4740 nt
Filed under: Homo sapiens (human)
Lineage: Eukaryota; Metazoa; Chordata; Mammalia; Primates; Hominidae
Description: non-protein coding lnc-RNF135-1:27
Source: RNAcentral